Long non-coding RNA from Syzygium oleosum, 480 nucleotides. RefSeq lists it as uncharacterized. The transcript has 3 exons. The record is from RefSeq and is a predicted model, not a curated record. NCBI's taxonomy places the organism in Eukaryota, Viridiplantae, Streptophyta, Magnoliopsida, Myrtales, Myrtaceae.
GCUUGUUCUUGAUCUGUAACUUGCCUUAUCAGGUUCAAGUUGUCAGACUCCAACACAAAGUGCAAAGAAGACUUCGACCUCAGAUGCUUGCAUGCCUCAAGGAGAGCUAGGGCUUCAACUUGCCCGACUGUGGAAACACAAACUCUCUUUGCAAACCCAUCCACCAACUUGCCGGUAUAAUCUCUGCAAACGCACGCUAUACUCCCUUCCCAUCUACCUUCCUCAAAGGAGCCAUCCACGUUCACCUUCAACUCACUGCUAUUUGGAGGCUUCCAUUCCCCAGAGUCCACUACCUUCGACGGCUCAGGAACUCGUGUUUUAAAAACAAAAUCGUUCCUUGCUCUUUCCACAUCUCCUUAAGCACAGACGCCAAUCGCUCCGAUGAAGGUCUGGGUGUCGCCAAAUGCCUUUCGUCCAAUUGCACAGCAGAAAGAUAUGUUCAAUAGUUUUUGGGCUUUGCCGACAGAGAGGACACACGGG